AGCAACAUCACCUUUGUAAUCUUAACACAGAAAGAGAGGCAGACAUGGAGAAAAGGAGGCCUACACAGUGGAAAGAUUGAUCGCCCAAGAAUGGAACACAGACACAAUUAUAAAGUGACAAGCUGAAUAUGUCUCAAUAACUUUGAAGGCUAUCAGAUCUAUGUGCAAUCUACGUGCAAGAUGCCUCGGUAGGAUGCCCCUGUUCCCAAACCUACCCUUGAAAGAGCACAAGAGGAAGGCAAUUUCAACAAGUAGAGCUUCUCCAUCUCCUUACAAUGCACUGCUCCAAAAGGGGAGAAAUCCUAUCGUAGCUAGAAGACAACCAGCCAA
This is a non-coding RNA of Pantherophis guttatus, 330 nucleotides long. The record is from RefSeq and is a predicted model, not a curated record. NCBI's taxonomy places the organism in Eukaryota, Metazoa, Chordata, Lepidosauria, Squamata, Colubridae.